UGGUGGAGUGAUUUGUCUGGUUAAUUCCGAUAACGAACGAGACCUCAGCCAUCUAACUAGCUGUCGUUAACGCAUUUCGGCUUGCCGUUGUGCCUAGCGCAUGUUUAAUGAUCAGCUUCUUAGAGGGACAAUCUGUGCAUAGCAGAAGGAAGAUUGAGGCAAUAACA
RNAcentral lists this ribosomal RNA (167 nucleotides) under uncultured eukaryote. RNAcentral's name for it is "partial 18S ribosomal RNA". It matches the Rfam family "Eukaryotic small subunit ribosomal RNA", at positions 1299 to 1458 of the family's 1831-position model. The record is from RNAcentral.